Dreissena polymorpha is the source of this 1550-nucleotide long non-coding RNA. RefSeq lists it as uncharacterized. The record is from RefSeq and is a predicted model, not a curated record. NCBI's taxonomy places the organism in Eukaryota, Metazoa, Mollusca, Bivalvia, Myida, Dreissenidae. The transcript is spliced from 2 exons.
GAGACAGAAAACAAUUUAAAAUGAUUGUGCUUUAUCUCGAAGUAAAAUAUGUUUCAUUAUGUAUGAUUGAUUAGAUAUUCGCUCGUGCUCGUCACUGAAAUUAUAUGUACUGAAUGUGGGCCAUUACCAUAACACAUAUCUUUCACUUUAAACACAAAACAGUUUUGUAAUCAAUGUUCUAAAUGAUAAAAUCGUCGAGCACAACAUACCAAUAUGUUUUAUCAACACACACAUUUCCACGAAUGACGAUGUCAUGAGCGAACUUAUCAAUACGUAAUUAAACUGCUCCCUUGGGUAUUGAUAAUACACAAUAAGCUACGAAGGCACAGGGACAGUCACAGUCGAAAUAAAAAAGGCUGAAAUGGCAUCAGGAGACCACCACCAUGGUAAAACGAACGUGGUUUAUCAAUUUAAUCCUGCCGACUAUGGUCCGUUCAACGUUUUGGACGGCGACCACUUCAACAACUUCACCGGCGGAAGCUACUAUAUGACAACUCCAAAAGAGGAUAACAUCAUGCUGUAUCGACUUUAUGGAGGAAAUGCGACUGCCGAGGGUCAGCAUUGGACUCUUGAGCCUAGAAAAGGCAAUGACGGAUAUCGACACGACGCUGCUGUAUUGAAACCAUGGAACACACUGGAGCACGCCGUGGAGCUUAUCGUCCCCAGGGGUGUCCAUAUGUACGAAGGGUUUGUUGGGCGCCAAAAAGGUUACCUUGGCGGUGGGUGGCAGGUAUUCAUUCCUAGAGAGGUCGUCAAGUCUGUUUAGAAUGCAGCACAAUACUGAAAACAAAAAGGUGAAAGACCAGGAGAUGGAAGCGAUAAAAAAAUUCCAAGAGCAAAAAAGGAAGCUUUGGGAAAAUAAAUUGAACAAGCACAUGGAGUCCAACGCGUUUGCAAAAGGAAGCUUUUUGCGGCAACUGCCCUCCGACGUCAGCCGAUUUUUAACGCUGAAAUCGGGUGACUCGUCGUCUGGAGAAAAAGUGAAAGAGGGCAAGUACCUCCUUCAUCGCGACAGCGUCCCAAGAAUCGGCGGAGGAAGAAUCAACGUCAGUAUUUCAGUGAAGAUUGAGUUUGUAAGAAGCGAGACCCAAACAUGCCAGUCUGAUAAAGCUAUCGUUACGACAAUUACAAACUAUUACAACCGAAUUACUGUUAUCGAAGAAACGGUGAGCUAAAGACUUCUUACAAAUAUUACAUCAUACAUGUACACAGAGAUUUCCUGUCAAAUAAAUUGUAUCAGAGACGUAGAUAACAAGUCUCUGAAUGAUUGCUUGUUGGUUUGAUGAUUGAGCAAUUUAAAAACGUGAAUGAACAGAUAUAUAACUAAGGUGAUGAUUGUAUCAUGUAAACUUUGCUGUUGCUAAUUAUAAAGUGUACACUUAAAUAUUACCAAUAUUUUCGCAUGUUAUAUACAAAUAGCGUUGAACUCUUAAUAGUAUUGGAACUAUUUGUAAAAAGAUGGCUUUGUUUGAAUAGUAAAAUCUUAAGAGGCUAAUAUGGAAAAUUAUUCUUAAUUGGUAUUUGAUUUAUCAUUAAAUUUUUACUUCACA